This 513-nucleotide ribosomal RNA is filed under the name Dactylopterus volitans (flying gurnard). RNAcentral describes it as "partial 12S ribosomal RNA". It matches the Rfam family "Bacterial small subunit ribosomal RNA", at positions 557 to 1349 of the family's 1533-position model. Lineage: Eukaryota; Metazoa; Chordata; Actinopteri; Syngnathiformes; Dactylopteridae. The record is from RNAcentral.
GGCGUAAAGUGUGGUUAAGGAAACUCCUCAAACUAAAGCCGAAUGUCUUCACAGCAGUCAUACGCUACCGAAGGUAAGAAGCCCCUCAACGAAAGUGACUUUAUAUAACCUGAACCCACGAAAGCUAGGAAACAAACUGGGAUUCGGCACCCCACUAUGCCUAGCCGUAAACAAAGAUAGAAUCCUACACAUCUAUCCGCCCGAAUACUACGAGCGCAAGCUUAAAACUCAAGGGACUUGGCGGCGCUUUAUAACCACUAGAGGAGCCUGUUCUAGAACCGAUUCCCCCCGUUCAACCUCACCCUCUCUUGCUUUUUUCCGUCUAUAUACCGCCGUCGUCAGCUUACCCUUUGAAGGACAAAUAGUGAGCAAAAUUGGUAAAACCCAAAACGUCAGGUCGAGGUGUAGCGUAUGGGAGGGGAAGCAAUGGGCUACAUUCGCUUAGUCAAGCGAGCACCCGAGCCAUUAACUGAAAAUGUUUGGUAGAUUAAGGAUUUAGCAGUAAGAGAGAGA